GAUGAAGAACGUAGCAAAAUGCGAUACUUGGUGUGAAUUGCAGAAUCCCGUGAACCAUCGAGUUGUUGAACGCAAGUUGCGCCCGAAGCCUUUUGGCCGAGGGCACGUCUGCCUGGGCGUCACGCAUCGCGUCGCCCCCCACAAUUCUCCGUAAAGGGAACGUGUGUUUUGGGGGCGGAUAUUGGUCUCCCGUGCUCAUGGCGUGGUUGGCCGAAAUAGGAGUCCUUUCGAUGGACGCACGAACUAGUGGUGGUCGUAAAAACCCUCGUCUUUUGUUUCGUGCUGUUGCUCGCAAGGUAAACUCUUUAAAAACCCCAAUGUGUCGUCUCUUGACGACGCUUCGACCGCGACCCCAGGUCAGGCGGGACUACCCGCUGAGUUUAAGCAUAUCAAUAAGCGGAGGA
Molecule: unclassified non-coding RNA, 404 nt
Filed under: soil metagenome
Description: partial contains 5.8S ribosomal RNA, internal transcribed spacer 2, and large subunit ribosomal RNA
Rfam family: 5.8S ribosomal RNA (bases 1-122)
Source: RNAcentral